RNAcentral lists this ribosomal RNA (587 nucleotides) under Lecidea nylanderi. Its description in RNAcentral is "SSU rRNA". It matches the Rfam family "Bacterial small subunit ribosomal RNA", at positions 440 to 1191 of the family's 1533-position model. Lineage: Eukaryota; Fungi; Ascomycota; Lecanoromycetes; Lecideales; Lecideaceae. The record is from RNAcentral.
AUGUCGAAUAAAAUUCUGGGUAGAAUUAUGAUGAUGACAGUUUACCCAUGCUUGACCAAAUUACGUGCCAGCAGUCGCGGUAAUACGUAAAAGACUAGUGUUAUUCAUCUUUAAUAGGUUUAAAGGGUACCUAGACGGUAAAUAAAGCCGGACUAAUAUACUAGAGUUACUUAUGAGGGGGAAGUACUGCUGGUGUAGAGAUGAAAUUCUGUCAUACUGGCACAGGUAUAGGCGAAAGCAUCCCCUUAUGUGAUAACUGACGUUGAAGGACGAAGGCUUUGUGUCGCGAACAGGAUUAGAUACCCCAGUAGUCAAAGCAGAAAAUGAUGAAUGUCAUAGAUUAGAUCUAUAAAUGAAAGUGUAAGCAUUCCACCUCAAGAGUAAUUUGGCAACAUUGGAACUGAAAUCAUUAGACCGUUUCUGAAACCAGUAGUGAAGUAUGUUGUUUAAUUUGAUAUUCCGCAAAAAACCUUACCACAAUUUGAACAAGCGUUGCACGGCUGUCUUCAGUUAAUGUCGUGAGACUAUGGUUAGUUCCAUUAAAUUAACGUAAACCCUUACUUUAUUUACAGGGACUAAGACAAGUC